UGCAUAGAAAUACGCGAAAGAGAAAGAUGAAAAGGGGGACGGCUCAAGGCAAAUAUUGUCCAUUUUAACACGGCUUAUCUAUCCGCGGCGCUUGUGUUCAAGCGCUCUGGCGGCGAGGCCGGCAGCCUGACGUGCGCGAGCCUGCCUGAAAAGCACCUCUGAAGACAUGCGGUCGUGGAGAAUUGCGUCUCGGGGGCACGAAUUGCAUUCCUAUCUGCACAAGGACGAGCCGUGUGUUUAGAGCGCCUUUUUGAAAACAGACAAAGGGCGCGGUGUCAAAGUGUUAUGAAACGCCGAAGGCUGGAGCAAUCAAACGCCUAUUGAUUUCAGAGCGUCUUCAGUCAGAAAUGAUUUUCUGCAGCAUAAUGGAUAGCGAGGAGGGAAAAUGAUUGUCUCAGAGAGGUUCACGGGAGAUGUGCAUCCACCUACUCCACCUCCACAUCUGGGAAGCAAGACAGAGGGAGGAGAAGAAAAAAAAAAAAAAACAAGCUUCAUGGUAAGUGGUGAGCAUCUGGAAAAUGAAUAAAUGGAAUACAAUGCACAACUCCUGAAAUCUUUAUGUUCCAGAAAAACAUUUCUGACAUAGCUUGAAAUAUCAUAAAGACCCCUGUGAAACCCUCUUCAUUGUUAUUGGAGUGAUGGCAGAUGCCGCCUCCAGCACUUCAUCGAGGAUUCAAAGGAAUGUUGUCUGCAAAAUGCUGAAAGAACAGAGAUUCCACUUCAGUUGAAGAUAGAACCCGUCAUCCUUUCAUGCUUUACAUUGAGUCAGAAAGUGCUCUGGGAAAAGCGCUUUCUUCCAUGGGCCCGCUUUCUUCUUCCAAAUUUAAAGAGUGAACACGCAGGGCACCUCCGACAGUCAUCAACAGGACCGAAGUCUGAAUUCCAACCGAUCUGAGGUCGAAAAGGCGCAAAAGGAACAUCGUAAACUAAGGUCUGGAAUGACGAGAUGAUUAUUGUAUCUGCCCAGCUGUCACACACAAUACCAGAUAUAUCAUAAUCCCACCAAUAAUUUCACCUCAACCUGUAUCUUAUCCAUUGCAAAACCAGAUUUGCCACAAUCGGAUACACUUAAGUCAGCAAUGUAAAUGAUGAGUCCAAUCUUUCAACUCUAUUCUGCAUCGCACUGAGUACAUCGUCGCCAAUCAAUCACCGUAGUUCCAGCAAGCCGAGCGCUGACUUGUGAAGAUGGAUAAAAAAAGCUGUCGGAAAGUAGGACAGUGAGGUGAGGGGGACUAGUUUAUAGACUUGCGGUUCAUCCUUUGCGGUCUUUGAUCCUGUCCACGGUGGCUCAGCCUCACAUGCGCACCGGCUGGCCCAGACUCAGCGGUGGCCUAAAAAUAUCUGUCGAGUAUCUUCUCCGGCAACCGGUGAGAGUGAAAAAUGCUGCCUUCUCACCAAGGUGCCAGAAAGCAAAUUCGACCUUCAUGUGCACUGUACUUUCAAACUGCAUUCUGACACUUCAAAUCGACUUGAAAGUGUGUCUAAGUUAUGCAAAAAAAGUGAAAUGCUGCGUUAGACACAUCUACCAAAAGUACAUUUUCAUUUUAUUAAGGACUCCGGAUAUUAUUUCACCAAGAAAAGCUCAAAAUAUGUACACAAUACUAAAAUUGAAAUUGGAUGUUCUCGGUUUCCAGCCGCUUCAAUGUUAUGAACUUCCUUUCAACUCAUAUUGUAUGCGCAGCCAAACACACACUCACAUUCAGAACGAGAUGGAAUGAUGGCUGGAUGACAAAAAUAUGCAUUGUCAAAGUUCGAAGUGUUGAAAUGUAUUAACAGUAACCCAAUUUUAACACGUGCCACAUGCUUCAUGAUGGCGAUGUCAUCAUUUGAACCAGACACUGAUUUUUUUUUCUCUGUUGCUAUUAUUCUUGAUGGGAUUUUUUUUUUUCCAACACUACACAAAUCAGGCGUCAGCCGUCGUCUCAGAACUGUUUGCGUUCCAACAUCAGCAAUUCCACUGUAUGUGACUUGAGGGUAAGUAUACAGCUUGGAUCACCCUCUGGGAUAAAUAUAUUCAGCUGACAUUUUAAUAAGCACACUACAACCAUCGGGUGAAUAAUGUUUUGGCUCGUAUUGUAUUUUCAGUGACGAAAAAACAAAAUGUCUUGUCAACCACCCCCGCGGGACCCUCCUACAUGCCAUCAGGUGGUAGUUGUUGCGGCGAAGGCGUUCAAUGUGCUCACACGGGGAUCAAACACACGUCCGCAAUCAUCAAAGACGUUUCCCUCUUACAUCCUGAAACAAUCACAGAGAGGAUUCGGAGCUGCAGCUGCUGGGCGAAGAGGCGCAGACGUCACCGGCCCUCGGUUUUGCGUACGUGCGUGAGUGUAUGUGUGGAGUGUGCCGUGCGCGUUUUGUGCGUGCAUUCACGCUUGAAGAAGGCCAACAGAAGUGUGACUCAAGUAGAUGUGAGCACCAAGCAAUUCAGUAAGCAGGAGUCCGUGAAUUAUCCACAGACCUUUGAGCACAAGCUCCCAUCAAAUUGUUCAAAUUUCAAUGCAAAGUGUAUCACCCUUGAGUGGGCGUAUUUAAAUCCGAGCGUGGUUUAGUGGCGGGGGGAGGUUCAACAUCGUAGCGGGAUCCUUUCCACUGCAGCCGUUGAGUUUAACCCUUUUGGGUUUUUGUUCUACAUGACUAUUGAUCGGUCUACUUUCAAGUGCCAAGAUCCAUAUCUGAAAUGAGGAAAGCAGCAUGAAAAUUGCCAACAAGAAAAUACAUCCCGGUACUAAUACUGUUACUGUCCUAGGAAUGCUUCAGAGGAACAACUCAGAGUUACAGCGACAAUAAAUCCCUCGGCCGACUUAAAAAUGUCAUCACGGGAAUGUUCCCCCAUUGUGAGCAAGACAAGUAGGCAAUUUGCUAAGUCCUCCACGGCCGACGCAAGCCGUGGAGGGAAAUGUGUCAAUGUAAAUGUAGACCACACAGUAGCUCGGGCAAAUGCUGCAAAGAUACCGCCAAGGUAUCCAUUACCAUGGAAGACAUGUGAUAUCUGGCCACUCAAAUUGUCUGGUUAGAGAACAGCUGAAGGGCAACGGAGGGGGGGAGGAAGGAGAGAGGAAGGGCGAGCUAGUCGGGGGGGAUGUAUCACCGCUUUACUGGAUUUCCACUGUUAAACGUAUCACUGAUACCUGAGGGGAAAAUAACCAAUCAAUAAACCUCCGUCUCCAGCUCCCCUUUCAUUUUUGCCUUGCACUCGCAUGUCUGUUUCCAUCAAACACACCCCGCCCCCUCCCCACCCAAAAGUACACUCAACCUCAGCAUGUUCACUCCCUUCAAAAUGCUAGCGAGAAUGAUCGAGGAGAGAAGAUUCCACUCCGGCUGACAUAAAAGUGUCAUUACGCUUUGUGUAAAUGGUAACCUCUUUAAAGACGUGAGUGUUACGCCUCUGGCCGAGCUCUCUGCAAAUACAGAACCCGAAAUAAAAAGAUGAUACACCACUCAAGUGCGUCCAUCACAUCAAAAUGGGAGUAGUACUCAGUGGAGCGCGGACCGAGGCUCAACCGAACAAACAUAACAAAAGGCAUUUGUGUCCAUUUCCCCAACCCCACGUUAGCAUGCGACACUUGCAAGAUGACAAGACCGUACCGUUUUUUUUUUGGGGGCCUGAUCGUGACUGGACAUAAAUGAAUGCAAAGGGCAACCGGUCUGAAAUAACAAGGUGCCAAAGUCAGAGUUCAUGUUGGCUAAGAAUCUUCUCUCCCUGAAGAACCCCAAAGUCCGAAACCCUUCAUGUGUUUUCAGGACCGAUCUGUAAAGCAGAUGUUCUUGCACUGAGGACAAACAACCACAGACAGAUUUGAUGCACAUGAACCGUGUUUUGUUGGCACUGCAGUGCUCUGCAGCUUUGAAUGAACGUAGACAGCAUCCAGCAGCUUUUAGUUCCAGUCUUGUCAUGUUUUCUCUGCUAAUGGGUUCUCGCCCUGAUUUUAAAGGCACAGAAGGUCAGGAGGAUCUGAACUUUACCAAAGUGAAUUUCUCAUGUGAUUGCACCACUCUAGGAGCGCAACAACAAACAGACACUUGAUAUUUAAUUCAUAAGGAGUGAGGAGACUAUUCUUAAACCAAAAAAACUAAGCAAAAAAAAAAAAAAACC
Long non-coding RNA from Hippocampus comes (tiger tail seahorse), 4093 nucleotides. RefSeq lists it as uncharacterized. The transcript is spliced from 2 exons. NCBI's taxonomy places the organism in Eukaryota, Metazoa, Chordata, Actinopteri, Syngnathiformes, Syngnathidae. The record is from RefSeq and is a predicted model, not a curated record.